Molecule: non-coding RNA, 1028 nt
Organism: Chiloscyllium plagiosum (whitespotted bambooshark)
Lineage: Eukaryota; Metazoa; Chordata; Chondrichthyes; Orectolobiformes; Hemiscylliidae
Source: RefSeq, a predicted model, not a curated record
CUGCAAGUUAGAUUUGGCAGAUGGAUGGAGCACCACUUCAGCACCUUCUAGAUAAAUGUGGUUGACUGACAAGUGCUAACACUAUCAGGAACUAGAUGGAGACAGACAUCAUUGAGGCAUCGCCAGAAAAUCAUUCACUGACAUGAAUUAAAAUUCUACUAAGGCUGUGUGGAAACAUGCAUUCAAGAGAUUAAACAAAUCAAUAAGAAAAAGGAACAUUUGUUCUCCAAUUAAACAGGUAAACUUUGAGUCAAAAAGGAAAGACGACAACAAAGAAUUGCUCUCACUCUGAAUGCUGGACUUGAAUCACAGUCAAAAGGCAUCACCCAACUGAAUCUCAAACAGUCUGCAAAAGUAAAGAUCAUGAAGCUGUUUGUCUACCAAUGUCAAUCCUAUCAGUAACCUUCACUGCAGUAGCCAUAAAAUUCAAAUAUUCAAUAUUUGUGAACAAUUCAGAGACUGAUUGGUAUUUAUGUUUUUUAAAAUUUUGAUCUUUUUAGCCUUGUCUUAUUUCUAACAUGUACGUAUGAGUGUUACAUUACUGAUUCUUCUCACAUUUAGUAAUUAAUUCAAGAUGGCAGUGGCGGAGUAUGCAGUGUUUGGGCUCCUCAUUUGUUUUCACUCCUUUUCUUCCUCUCUCUUUCUCUAAGAUUUAUUUUUUCUGAUAAGAAAAAAUACCUUGGAGCUGUUGAGAACUGUAGUGAAGUGAGCUGGAGGGUUACAGUGGAGCAGGGACAGUUGUUGGUAUGUGGUCUGGCACAGGCGCUCAGCGGUUUGAGGUUAGUCAGACCUCGUAUGGUACUCUCUGCGCUGAUCCACUGCGAUGUAUAUCUGUACUUUGUUUAGCUAACUAUAUAAUGUUUAUUCUUUUAACUAUGUCUUGUUUCUACCCAAAAUACUAUGAAUCACUGUAAGGUAAUGCACAUUUUUUAUUCCUCUUUUUUGUAUCAAAGAUUUGCAUCUAGGUACUGUGUACCUAAGAUGGCACCAUGAGAGGUGACAUUGUAAACUUGUCCCUGUACCCCAUA